Molecule: non-coding RNA, 31 nt
Filed under: Rattus norvegicus (Norway rat)
Lineage: Eukaryota; Metazoa; Chordata; Mammalia; Rodentia; Muridae
Source: RNAcentral
UGCUUUAAAUACAAACAAAAGUCAGGUGUGA